UACGGAGGGCGCAAGCGUUGUUCGGAAUUACUGGGCGUAAAGCGCGUGUAGGCGGCCAGGUAAGCCGGAUGUGAAAGCCCGGGGCCCAACCCCGGAACUGCACCCGAUACUGCCUGGCUGGAGUCCCGGAGAGGAUGGCGGAAUUUCCGGUGUAGAGGUGAAAUUCGUAGAUAUCGGAAGGAACCCCAGUGGCGAAGGCGACCAUCUGGACGGUGACUGACGCUGAGACGCGAAAGCGUGGGGAGCAAACAGG
Molecule: ribosomal RNA, 253 nt
Filed under: uncultured bacterium
Lineage: Bacteria
Description: partial 16S ribosomal RNA
Rfam family: Bacterial small subunit ribosomal RNA
Source: RNAcentral